RNAcentral lists this ribosomal RNA (253 nucleotides) under uncultured Rufibacter sp. Its description in RNAcentral is "partial 16S ribosomal RNA". It matches the Rfam family "Bacterial small subunit ribosomal RNA", at positions 524 to 776 of the family's 1533-position model. The record is from RNAcentral. Lineage: Bacteria; Pseudomonadati; Bacteroidota; Cytophagia; Cytophagales; Hymenobacteraceae.
UACGGAGGGUGCAAGCGUUGUCCGGAUUUAUUGGGUUUAAAGGGUGCGUAGGCGGCCCAUUAAGUCAGCGGUGAAAGCCCGGGGCUCAACCCCGGAACCGCCGUUGAUACUGGUGGGCUUGAGUAUGGACGAGGUUGGCGGAAUUGAAGAUGUAGCGGUGAAAUGCUUAGAUAUCUUCAAGAACACCGAUUGCGUAGGCAGCUAACUAGGCCAUAACUGACGCUGAGGCACGAAAGCGUGGGGAGCGAACAGG